GAUGAAGAACGUAGCAAAAUGCGAUAAGUAAUGCGAAUUGCAGAAUUUCCGUGAGUCAUCGAAUCUUUGAACGCACAUUGCGCCCAUUGGUAUUCCGAUGGGCAUGCCUGUUCGAGCGUCAUUAUCUUCCCUCAAACCUCGCGUUUGGUGUUGGGCCGUGCUGGUUCCUGCGUGACCAACUGGCCUCAAAGACAAUGACGGCGUCCGUGGGACCCUCGAUGCAACGAGCUUCUCAGGAGCACGCGUCGAGUUUCAAGGACCUUCCGGGCCGGUCUCUACUCAUGUUAUUACAAGGUUGACCUCGGAUCAGGUAGGGAUACCCGCUGAACUUAAGCAUAUCAAUAAGCGGAGGA
This 353-nucleotide unclassified non-coding RNA is filed under the name soil metagenome. Its description in RNAcentral is "partial contains 5.8S ribosomal RNA, internal transcribed spacer 2, and large subunit ribosomal RNA". The stretch from base 1 to 121 matches the Rfam family "5.8S ribosomal RNA", at positions 35 to 154 of the family's 154-position model. The record is from RNAcentral.